AGGGAUUGCCCUAGUAACGGCGAGUGAAGCGGCAACAGCUCAAAUUUGAAAGCUAGCCUUCGGGUUCGCAUUGUAAUUUGUAGAGGAUGAUUUGGGGAAGCCGCCUGUCUAAGUUCCUUGGAACAGGACGUCAUAGAGGGUGAGAAUCCCGUAUGUGACAGGAAAUGGCACCCUAUGUAAAUCUCCUUCGACGAGUCGAGUUGUUUGGGAAUGCAGCUCUAAAUGGGAGGUAAAUUUCUUCUAAAGCUAAAUAUUGGCGAGAGACCGAUAGCGCACAAGUAGAGUGAUCGAAAGAUGAAAAGCACUUUGGAAAGAGAGUUAAAAAGCACGUGAAAUUGUUGAAAGGGAAGCGCUUGCAAUCAGACUUGUUUAAACUGUUCGGCCGGUCUUCUGACCGGUUUACUCAGUUUGGACAGGCCAGCAUCAGUUUCGGCGGCCGGAUAAAGGCUCUGGGAAUGUGGCCUCCACUUCGGUGGAGGUGUUAUAGCCCAGGGUGUAAUACGGCCAGCCGGGACUGAGGUCCGCGCUUCGGCUAGGAUGCUGGCGUAAUGGUU
This 554-nucleotide ribosomal RNA is filed under the name Aureobasidium proteae. RNAcentral's name for it is "eukaryotic LSU rRNA". It matches the Rfam family "Eukaryotic large subunit ribosomal RNA", at positions 70 to 639 of the family's 3401-position model. The record is from RNAcentral. Lineage: Eukaryota; Fungi; Ascomycota; Dothideomycetes; Dothideales; Saccotheciaceae.